RNAcentral lists this non-coding RNA (48 nucleotides) under Schistosoma mattheei. Lineage: Eukaryota; Metazoa; Platyhelminthes; Trematoda; Strigeidida; Schistosomatidae. The record is from RNAcentral.
AUCCAGCUGAUGAGUCCCAGAUAGGAUGAAGUGCGAGUCAAACUGGAU